AUGAUAAAUAAAUUGGAGCAGUUUCAAUACGGACCUCGCAAUGCUUGGGCCCUAAUUACCUUUGGGUGGAGCUGCAGUAGAGUUGGAGGUAGGAGCUGUAGUGGAGUCAAAGGGAGGAUCGAAGGUAGGAUCUGCAGUGGUGUUGGAGGUAGGAUCUGUAGUGGAGUCGGAGGUAGGAGCUGUAGUGGAGUCGAAGGGAGGAUCGAAGGUAGGAUCUGCAGUGGUGUUGGAGGUAGGAUCUGUAGUGGUGUUGGAGGUAGGAGCUGUAGUGGAGUCGGAGGUAGGAGCUGUAGUGGAGUCGAAGGGAGGAUCGAAGGUAGGAUCUGUAGUGGUGUUGGAGGUAGGAUCUGUAGUGGAGUCGGAGGUAGGAGCUGUAGUGGAGUCGAAGGGAGGAUCGAAGGUAGGAUCUGUAGUGGUGUUGGAGGUAGAAGCUGUAGUGGAGUCGGAGGUAGGAGCUGUAGUGGAGUCGAAGGGAGGAUCGAAGGUAGGAUCUGUAGUGGUGUUGGAGGUAGAAGCUGUAGUGGAGUCGGAGGUAGGAGCUGUAGUGGAGUCGAAGGGAGGAUCGAAGGUAGGAUCUGUAGUGGUGUUGGAGGUAGAAGCUGUAGUGGAGUCGGAGGUAGGAGCUGUAGUGGAGUCGAAGGGAGGAUCGAAGGUAGGAUCUGCAGUGGUGUUGGAGGUAGAAGCUGUAGUGGAGUCGGAGGUAGGAGCUGUAGUGGAGUCGAAGGGAGGAUCGAAGGUAGGAUCUGUAGUGGUGUUGGAGGUAGAAGCUGUAGUGGAGUCGGAGGUAGGAUCGAAGGUAGGAUCUGCAGUGUUAAUGCGAGAUGCUGGUGGAUGGACUGUAGUUGUAGUAGUUGGUGGUGUAAAUGACGUUGAAGUUCGUGCUGUUGUAGUUGUAACCAGUGCUGGUGAAGAUGAUGAUGUAGUUGGUGCUGGUGUAGGCGGUGUUGUAGUUGUAGUCAUUGUUGUAGUCAGUGCUGGUGUAGGUGGUAUUGUAAUAGGUAAGGAGAUAAUUGAUGUGGUAGUUGUAGUAUUUGUAGCCAGUCCAGAUGGAGCGAUUCCAGUUUGAGCUGUGGAAUUAAAGAAACAUUUGAUAUCAACAAUCAGAUCAUCUGUACUGUUGAAUUAUCAUUCCUGAUGGUGCAGUGCUUCUCAGAGUCUCUCAAAGUGAUUGUAAUUAAUGAAAUCAAUGGUGGAUCUAAUUUUGUAUUGAAAACAGUCAAAAUCUGACACAGAUUGCAGUAGCUGAUGUGAAUGUUACCUGUGGUUAAACAGCUGAUUGUGGCGAGUAGACAGCCGAUGAGAAGAACAGCAGGAGGCAUCCUACAGAUUUAGUGUUUGUCAGACCUCUGCUAGUGAUGUUUUCGCUGUGCUCCUCCAGAUCUUUUUCUUUUAACCCAUCGUGUGUCUGUCCUGCCUCCUGACAACACACUUGUGUCAAAGUCAAAUAAAUCAAAAUCUGAUUCUUAUGUACAGAGAUCCUGAACUACUGGAUUAUUUCGCGAUGCUGUCAGAAUACCUGAUGAAGGCUGUUGCCAAAAUGCUUCCAGGCUUGACAGUCAACAGGACGUUCGGUUUGCUUUUAAAUAAUAAAAAUAUAAGUGAGUGAAGAAGACACUUUGGAAUGUGUUGCUCAUCGUUGCUACUUUGUAAUGCUUGUCAAUCAUAACUGUUUUAUUUACAUUGGCUAACAUUCAAGGACUGGGCAAAGUUAUUCAUUUUAUGACAGAUCAUUCUUUCUUUCUGCUUGUCUGAUAGACUGUGUGAGCUUAAAGGGGUCAUGAUGCGAUUUAAAUUUUUCCUUUCUCUUUGGAGUGUUACCAGCUUUUGGUGCAUAAAGAAGAUCUGUAAAGUUGCAAAGAUUAAAGUCUCAAACCCAAAGAGAUAUUCUUUAACGACACGUUCUAACACAAAAACAAAGUGUUUACGCUCGCAUGAGGUGGUUUUUCAGGCAAUGGGAAAAAGGAAUAAUUCACAGAACUGCAAUGGAAACGUUUUUUUCACAUUUACAGGUCACAUGGCGUAUGUAAAAAGUCAUAUGAUCAUUCUUCAAUGUACUAAAACCUCCAAGAAACACCUUAUACGUGGCCGCUCUUCAGUAUAAGGGGCUUUCGCUACCAUUAACGCUUAGACAAUUUACACCGAACACAUCUGCGAUGCAGUGCGGCUCUGAUACGACCACUGAAGCUGAUUGCGGUCACUAGUCAAUGCUUGCGUUUAUUCCAGACGCGCCACGCACUUUUCUGAAGUGGCUCUCUGUGCUAGAUACACGCCUACGCCUCCUUUGAAUAAAUAUAGCCAAAACCCGUCAAAAUCUCACCAAAAUCCAUUGCCAUGACUUAUCGCGAGAGGCAAAAGGUUACGUUUUAGUCGCAUAACAUUGGUUAAUGGAAACGCCGUCAUUUGGCAAUACUUUUUUAUUGACAUUUAUAAAACAUCGCCAAAGUUUUGCUCAAAUCUGUAAUGGAAACGCGCCUAAUGUUCAUGCACGGAGCUCACUUCUAACGAGCUGAUUAUCUGAAUCAGUUGUGUUAACAAAGAGAGACGUGCAAAAUAUGCAGAGCUGGGGGGCGCGAGGACUGGAAUUGAGAACCACUGGUGUAGAGUAGAGCUUGUUGCUUGUCGUUUCUCUGAUCAAAAAUCCAGACAUGGUUUUAUGUUUACAUGGUGCAAUGCAACGCAACAUGUAAAAACACAGUAUAAGUCAUUAUAAUCCAUAAUUAUGUCCCCACUGGAUGCAACAAAUGGCUCGUUUGUAAUGGGUUUUAUUGUUUUUGUCUUGUCUCGCUGGUGGUCUGACCAGGACACGCAUCACAGUAUGUUGAGGGGCGUAAUAUUUCUGUAACACGCUUGAGCCAUUCGGCCAAUCACAAUGCACAGGAUAGCUGGCCAAUCAGAGCACACCUCGCUUUUCAGACCGAUGAGCUUUGAAAAAAAAACGAUGCGUUUCAGAAGGCGGGGCAUAGAGGAGAACAAUAAUGUACAGUACUGUAUGUGGAAAAUAAUGUGUUUUUUGAACCUUAAACCGCAUAAACACAUUUCAUUACACCAAAUACACAAAAUAAUGUUCUUUUUAGCAACAUCAUAUGACCCCUUUACUGUUUUAAAUUGUUUUAUGCACUAAAAGUUUUGUUAGCGAUUCAAUGCUCACCAUGACUAGUUUAGAGCUUUUAUGAACACUUAUACUGUUAGUGCUUCUAAGCAAUUGAAGAGAAUGCAACCCACAUAUGCUGAAAUGCUUCUUUCUCAGUGAGAGAUAUUUGGUUUAUGCAACUGGCCUAGUUGGUUACUCUUAAGUAAAGCUUGGCCACAUGAAAGAUGUUUCUUACAUAUGAAAUGAAAUCUUAUUUGCAAUGCAGAAAGACAUUUUUUAAAAUGAAC
Cyprinus carpio carpio is the source of this 3378-nucleotide long non-coding RNA. NCBI's taxonomy places the organism in Eukaryota, Metazoa, Chordata, Actinopteri, Cypriniformes, Cyprinidae. The record is from Ensembl.